Molecule: ribosomal RNA, 722 nt
Filed under: uncultured Fusobacterium sp.
Lineage: Bacteria; Fusobacteriati; Fusobacteriota; Fusobacteriia; Fusobacteriales; Fusobacteriaceae
Description: bacterial SSU rRNA
Rfam family: Bacterial small subunit ribosomal RNA
Source: RNAcentral
GACGAACGCUGACAGAAUGCUUAACACAUGCAAGUCAACUUGAACUUCGGUUUGGGUGGCGGACGGGUGAGUAACGCGUAAAGAACUUGCCUCACAGAUAGGGACAACAUUUGGAAACGAAUGCUAAUACCUGAUAUUAUGAUUUUAGGGCAUCCUAGGAUUAUGAAAGCUAUAUGCACUGUGAGAGAGCUUUGCGUCCCAUUAGCUAGUUGGAGAGGUAACGGCUCACCAAGGCGAUGAUGGGUAGCCGGCCUGAGAGGGUGAUCGGCCACAAGGGGACUGAGACACGGCCCUUACUCCUACGGGAGGCAGCAGUGGGGAAUAUUGGACAAUGGACCGAGAGUCUGAUCCAGCAAUUCUGUGUGCACGAUGAAGUUUUUCGGAAUGUAAAGUGCUUUCAGUUGGGAAGAAAGAAAUGACGGUACCAACAGAAGAAGUGACGGCUAAAUACGUGCCAGCAGCCGCGGUAAUACGUAUGUCACGAGCGUUAUCCGGAUUUAUUGGGCGUAAAGCGCGUCUAGGUGGUUAUAUAAGUCUGAUGUGAAAAUGCAGGGCUCAACUCUGUAUUGCGUUGGAAACUGUAUAACUAGAGUACUGGAGAGGUAAGCGGAACUACAAGUGUAGAGGUGAAAUUCGUAGAUAUUUGUAGGAAUGCCGAUGGGGAAGCCAGCUUACUGGACAGAUACUGACGCUGAAGCGCGAAAGCGUGGGUAGCAAACAGG